GCUAGUAAUCGCGGAUCAGCAUGCCGCGGUGAAUACGUUCCCGGGCCUUGUACACACCGCCCGUCACACCAUGGGAGCCGGUAAUACCCGAAGUCAGUAGUCCAACCUCGUGAGGACGCUGCCGAAGGUAGGAUUGGCGACUGGGGUGAAGUCGUAACAAGGUAAC
This 166-nucleotide ribosomal RNA is filed under the name uncultured bacterium. Its description in RNAcentral is "partial 16S ribosomal RNA". It matches the Rfam family "Bacterial small subunit ribosomal RNA", at positions 1334 to 1500 of the family's 1533-position model. The record is from RNAcentral.